CCUACGGGAGGCAGCAGUGAGGAAUAUUGGUCAAUGGACGAGAGUCUGAACCAGCCACGUAGCGUGAAGGAUGACUGCCCUAUGGGUUGUAAACUUCUUUUAUAUGGGAAUAAAACGUUCCACGUGUGGGAUUUUGUAUGUACCAUAUGAAUAAGGCUCGCCUAACUCCGUGCCAGCAGCCGCGGUAAUACGGAGGAUCCGAGCGUUAUCCGGAUUUAUUGGGUUUAAAGGGAGCGUAGGUGGAUUGUUAAGUCAGUUGUGAAAGUUUGGGGCUCAACCGUAAAAUUGCAGUUGAAACUGGCAGUCUUGAGUACAGUAGAGGUGGGCGGAAUUCGUGGUGUAGCGGUGAAAUGCUUAGAUAUCAGGAAGAACUCCGAUUGCGAAGGCAGUUCACUGGACUGCAACUGACACUGAGGCUCGAAAGUGUGGGUAUCAAACAGGAUUAGAUACCCGGGUAGUC
This 460-nucleotide ribosomal RNA is filed under the name uncultured bacterium. RNAcentral's name for it is "partial 16S ribosomal RNA". It matches the Rfam family "Bacterial small subunit ribosomal RNA", at positions 338 to 795 of the family's 1533-position model. The record is from RNAcentral.